AGCCAGAGGAAGAUAUUUUUGGUUUAACCUGCCCAAUGUAUUAUUGUAUGAAUGGCCGCGGUACCCUGACCGUGCUAAGGUAGCGUAAUCAGUUGGCUUUUAAAUGGAGUCAGGUAUGAAUGGGACAACCGGGCUUAGCUGUCUCAAAGACAUUUAUUUGAAUUUACUGUUCAAGUGAAAAAGCUUGACGUAAGAAAAGGGACGAGAAGACCCUUAGAAUUUUGUUUAAAGAGGAUUAUCUCCUCUAUGAUUUUGUUGGGGCGACAGAGAAAUAAUUAAAACUUUCUUUAAAUUAAUCAGUCGGAAUUUUCAGGUUAGGAUAAAUUACCUGAGGGAUAACAGCAUAAUUUUAUAAAUAAGUUUGUGACCUCGAUGUUGGACUAGGAAGCUAAUGGGUUAGCUGCUCAUUGUGCGGAUUCUGUUCGAAUUUUAACUCCUA
This 439-nucleotide ribosomal RNA is filed under the name Eubranchus sp. 'Amphorina' 2 TK-2019. RNAcentral describes it as "partial large subunit ribosomal RNA". It matches the Rfam family "Bacterial large subunit ribosomal RNA", at positions 1829 to 2597 of the family's 2925-position model. The record is from RNAcentral. Lineage: Eukaryota; Metazoa; Mollusca; Gastropoda; Nudibranchia; Eubranchidae.